Molecule: ribosomal RNA, 253 nt
Filed under: uncultured bacterium
Lineage: Bacteria
Description: partial 16S ribosomal RNA
Rfam family: Bacterial small subunit ribosomal RNA
Source: RNAcentral
UACGUAGGGGGCUAGCGUUGUCCGGAAUCAUUGGGCGUAAAGAGCGUGUAGGCGGCUCGGUAAGUCCGCUCUGAAAGCCCGGGGCUCAACCCCGGGAGGCGGGCGGAAACUGUCGGGCUAGAGUCCGGAAGAGGCGAGUGGAAUUCCCGGUGUAGCGGUGAAAUGCGCAGAUAUCGGGAGGAACACCAAUGGCGAAGGCAGCUCGCUGGGACGUGACUGACGCUGAGACGCGAAAGCGUGGGGAGCAAACAGG